RNAcentral lists this ribosomal RNA (410 nucleotides) under uncultured microorganism. RNAcentral's name for it is "bacterial SSU rRNA". It matches the Rfam family "Bacterial small subunit ribosomal RNA", at positions 509 to 917 of the family's 1533-position model. The record is from RNAcentral.
CAGCCGCCGCGGUAAUACGUAGGGGGCGAGCGUUGUCCGGAAUUAUUGGGCGUAAAGCGCGCGCAGGCGGUCCUUUAAGUCUGAUGUGAAAGCCCACGGCUCAACCGUGGAGGGUCAUUGGAAACUGGGGGACUUGAGUGCAGGAGAGGAGAGCGGAAUUCCACGUGUAGCGGUGAAAUGCGUAGAGAUGUGGAGGAACACCAGUGGCGAAGGCGGCUCUCUGGCCUGUAACUGACGCUGAGGCGCGAAAGCGUGGGGAGCAAAAAGGAUUAGAUACCCUGGUAGUCCACGCCGUAAACGAUGAGUGCUAAGUGUUAGAGGGGUCACACCCUUUAGUGCUGCAGCUAACGCGAUAAGCACUCCGCCUGGGGAGUACGGCCGCAAGGCUGAAACUUAAAGGAAUUGGCGGG